This is a long non-coding RNA of Scleropages formosus (Asian bonytongue), 1804 nucleotides long. Lineage: Eukaryota; Metazoa; Chordata; Actinopteri; Osteoglossiformes; Osteoglossidae. The record is from Ensembl.
GCGGGAAACGGGUCUAUUGUAAAUAGUUGGAUUGUGGGUAAAACGGAGUUAAAUGUUCAACCGCUGCAGAGGCUUCUGGGGAAAAUAAAGGGGUGACUGUGUGUUUGGCACUGGAGAAACAGAGAAAGUGAGGGGGGCGCUAAGAUGGCUGGAAAGGUUGGUUAGCGAUGCAGGUCCUUGAGGAAAAGAGGUUCUCGGAUCGAAAGCAUCAUUUUCUUUGUUUGCUGAUGAGUGAUGUUCUAAUAAGACGUUCGUUAUGAACGCUCCCUGCGCGUCCUUCUUCGCCCCAUCCGAACCCAGAGCGCUGCGCGCCGCAAUAUGUUUACAGCUAUACACGGUCUCCUGCUAAUUUCUGUAGGGUCGUGUCCCAUGAGGAUGACCUGGUGAACCUGCCAUCUGUGACAUGUUGGCUUUACGCGCUGUGUCACUCCUCCAUUGCUCGUGUAAAAGGGACAGUCCGCUCUGUCAGAUGUUCCUUUAAAAAAGUGCAUCCCCUCCGCCGCGUGGGCCGGUUCGUGGGAGAUGACGCCCCGUCCACGAGCGCAACUCAACUCGUGAACCACUCAGGACCGGGGGUUUGAGCGCCGCGGCUCGGGGAUCCGGGGUCGUGUGCUCGUUUGCGGGAGCGGAUCCAGAGAGAUGCUCGGCCGACAACAACACCGAGCCCCGAGAGAGAGAGAGCCGCACCGUUAUAUUUGUGCAAUCGUUUCCAAAAUCGUUGCCUUUAAAUAAAAAAAUACUUUAAAAUUAUUUAAAAAAAAAAAAAAUAGCGACCAAUUCAACAAAGGGGUCUAAAUAAGCGCUUUACGAUUUUUUUUUUUUCUCUUUUCUUCGAAUAAAGGUAACAAUGGAUGUGGCGGAUCUGUCGUUCGCUUUGCCUGCGAUUCUUUUCACGCUUCUUGCGAUUGUUUUAGCGAAUACGAUUUUCGGUAAGAAAACCACGAGUGUCCCGCAGUCCGAGGCGCAGAGCGGUGCUCCCGCUGAGAGCGACUGGACCGCGGACGAGCGAUGUGAGCGUGGACGAGAGGCGGACACACCGGCCCUGCCGCCUCCUCGGACCAUAAUAAAGGGGGAAUUUGAGGGAGCGGAGCCCGUCGGCGGGGGGCAGCUGCAGGAGGACGGAGCGGCACCCGCCGAGUCCCCGCCGGGCCCGCAGGUGGAGGACGACGUGGGCGUGAGCACGAGCACGAGGUGCCCGGGACGCCGCCAGGUGUCCGGGGAACCGGAUUAUAACACGGAGCUCCAGUCUAGUUUCACCCCUCAUUCUGUUGGACUCCAGUACAGCAGUUAAGUCUUUUAUAAAAUACGAAAGAAUGAGUGCUCUGUGUGCUGAACACUGUAUAAUAAUAAUAAUCUGUUCAUGUACAUAUCAGACAACCAUCACUCUACCUUUAAAGAUGGUGACAAGGCAAAAUAUUUUUUUUUAAAACAGUAUGUAUGUAUUUGGGAGGUUUUUUUUUUUUUUUUUUAAACAUUAUUUAAAAGAGAAAGAUUUACAUAAGUUUCCAUAAAUUGAAUAACCCAGACUUGGACAUGAACCUGAGUAACUUCUAGGAAUGAUUAUCCAGCCACUAAUUUAUAAUUCCAACUCAGACUUGGACUUGAAAGUUACAGACUCAGUGGUUUGAAUUAAAGUGCUAAGCCGGUCAAAAAUUAUCUAAUUUGUGCUCUUUUCUUUAAUACAUCUUUUCCAGUCAGUGGGCCCUUGUGGUAAAUAGACGGCCUGGAUAUAAUUACUGUGAACAUUAGAAGGAAAAUUACUUCAUUUUUAAAAAAUUGGAUGACAUUUGCACAGAAACAUGGG